UGGUGGGCAGGUGACAUUAUUGGAGGAUAUGAGAGCUCCAGCUAACCAUCAAGUUCCAUGAAUACCAUUGUUGAAAACGUGAUUUACAGGAAUCACAUUUCUGUGGGAACAGACAAUUCUUCAAAGGGAUUUCAAGACCUAGUGUGGAUCUAUCAUCUUACAAAAGAGACUCUGUCACCUGGAUGCUGUUGUUCGCUAUUCUAUGCUACAACCCAGCAUGUCAUCCAGCUGCAGUUCCAGCCCAUCCUGCAUUGACAGAAUCAGCAACGGCUGCUCGCUCGACUUCUCAGGGGGUUCUCACUCGGCAUCUCUCUCUGCUCUCACUCUCCGCCUGGUUUGGUUGGCUGCCCCUUUCACCCUCCUCUUUCCCUCCUUCACAGCUCACCAGACACAAUUCUUCUCACACACCUUACUUGACUCCUGUUAACCUUCCCUCCCUUCCUCAGGAGGUCCUGCUGCUGCCACAGCACUUUUCUCAGACCCCUCCAGCUCUCUAGAAUUGCCACAGAACCUUCCGGGCUCCCACCAACUGCCAUAGAACCUUCCAGGCUCUCCACCAACUGUCACAGAACCUUCCAGGCCCUCCACCAACUGUCACAGAACCUUCUGGUCCCCCAUCCCCCCACUAUCACAGAACCUUCUCUUGUUAAAGGGGCAUUACCUUACACACUCCUGCUUGCUGUACUGAGGAAAAUACUGUAAUGAGCUGGCAUGUGUACACCCAUGCCCCCCUCCUCUCUAGCAGACAUCAUCAGAACUGCUCAGCUAUGAGUCAUAGGCCCUAUACCUCUAACAGUUAGAGGAGACUCUUCACAAGCCCAAAUGGCAGGAGACGAUGCCUUAGGGGCAGGAGGAUCUCAUUUUUUUCCCGUCUAUAGCUAUGAAGUUGCAAGGGGUUAGUGUGCAGCAUAGUGACAACCAUGAAGUUUCUGUCUGGCCAGAGUCUAAGAUACUAUAGAGACUUGAUCAUUACCAGAAGCAAGCAAAGCGACCUUGAGAAAAUGAGAAACCACCUGAGCGUAUAACUAGAACUCCAACCUUUCCUGGAGAUUUGAAAAGAUCAUUCGCUUUUACCACCAAUCCUGCACUUGCUAGUCUCAGCCCCAACCAGACUUCUCAGCGGUCGAGACUGUUUGAGCUAUUGGCAAACUGAACAGACCCAGGAAACAUUAAACUCACUGGGAUUUGUAGCACAGUUUUUAAACUCAGUCCAUCUGGACAUGUCAGGAGAAGCAACUGAAACUUUGGGAUGUUUCUCUGAACAAAACUUGAAAUCCUUUGAUUUUUGUCUAUCACCAAUUACUGCCCUUCGCAGGUGAUUAAAGUCAUUCAGCCCUAAGGCCAAUUCUAAUGGCCCAGAAAGAUGCUGCCUGAUGUAUGUGUGUCUUUCUAAAAGCCUUUAGGGAGGAGAAGGGAUCAUAAACUCUGGAAAUGAAUUUGUCUAUCAGUUAUUCCUUCUGAGACUGCUUGUGGGUACAAGGGAGAAGCUGGUGGUUUGAUGAUGACAAAGACAGUGCUUUCCUGCUGACCAAAAACCCCUUCACCAUACUGCACCAUUUCCAUGAUAAAUGAUGUUUAAAAAGAGACCUGUUCUUUUCAGUGAGGCAGCAGAUCAAAGGAGGCUCUAUCUGUAAGGCAGAUGGCAAUUACUAGCAAAUAAUCUAUCCACAGCCAUUGCCUGGGAAGUAAUGCUGAGUGUGAUAAGGUGAAUCUGAGGAAUAACUGAGCAAGAUUGAUUUAGGAACAUAAGUAACAAAUACAAACAAGGAUUCCUUGAUAAAAACAGACAAUUAACUUCAUAUACAGAGGAGCUCACUUAAAAGCCAGACCCUGUCAGAGGGCUGGACCUGUGAAAAGAAUGAAGCACCCGGCCUAUGUAUGCACACCCUGAAAUGCAAAAGAACCCUUUCAAAAAGGAAGGCCUAAAAUUUAAAGUGCUAGUCUUUGAGGCACAGCAUCCCAGAGACAGCUGGGUCUCUGACAAGCACAGGGUGUUAAACAAACCAAUCCCCUAGGUACCCACACUUCCCCACAUCUCUGUCUGUAAAACUACAGAAUCACCUGAAAAGUAGAGCCAUGAAAGAGGGAGUUUAGUACUAUGGAAAAGCCUUCAGAUGUAUCCAACUUGGAACACCCAUCACUUUUCACUGCUGUUGAGUUCAAUGAAUUGUCACUUUCAAGAAACUCCGCUCCUCCCAGUCCACCAAAACUGCAGCAGAGUCCAGAAGGUAACAGGUGUAAGUGGGCAAUUAUGGGGUGUACUCUAGGUAUGCAUCAUACCCAUCUUAAUUCAUCAGGGAAGUCCUGCACUCUAACUGCCAACAUUUUUGUGGGAUAUUCUGCCUAAGGUAGAACCCUCAGUAACCAUCUCAGAGGGAAACCUCUUUCACCAGUCACAGAUAAGUGUUUAGAAGACGUUGUUCAGAAUCAUUGCCUAAAAUAGUCUCAUUCCUAUGAUCACUGCCAUUCUUCCAAAACCACCUUUUAGUCUUAAUACAAAAAAAAAGCGCAUCCCACACCCUUAUCCCUCCCACUUCCUGGCCCUGCACAUGUACAAGGGCUAAAAAAACCCGAUAAUCUCAUUACCAAGCUCUAUCCGUCACUGUCAGAUUCUCUAUAACAUUACGGGAAGUGGAUAAGGACUUGAUCAGAUGUCUAAUUAAACUCUAAGAUAUCUGGGCACUUCAGCUGGAUCAGUAACAGCAGGUACAUUCUCACUCCUGCCUAAUGGUCAGGAGAUGCCUUUUUAAAGCCUGCCUGCUGUGUACAGCACCUAUUGGUUUCUGUGUAAAGAAUCAAGUGCUAAUAGCCUUUUGUGACAGUGGUGUUAUUCCUCCAUCACAGACUGAGAAGAGAGCUUUCUUCCACUGUUGCUGUAGGAGGUAGAGGCAGUCACAUGAGGACUGUCACUUUAAGAGCUUAUAGAGCAGCAUGUCAGCAGAAAGUACCGUGAAGAAGUGAAAGAACAUUUCAUUGCCUUAAGAAAAGCACCUGCACAUCCAUUUCAAUAAUAAUAAAUAUUGAUUCAAUAAUAAUAAAUAUUGAGCAAGGACAGAGAAUCUGUAUACACAACAUUUUAAUAAAGAAAACA
Mauremys reevesii (Reeves's turtle) is the source of this 3091-nucleotide long non-coding RNA. RefSeq lists it as uncharacterized. The transcript is spliced from 3 exons. Lineage: Eukaryota; Metazoa; Chordata; Testudines; Geoemydidae. The record is from RefSeq and is a predicted model, not a curated record.